GACGAACGCUGGCGGCGUGCUUAACACAUGCAAGUCGAACGGAAAGGCCCUGCUUUUGUGGGGUGCUCGAGUGGCGAACGGGUGAGUAACCCGUGAGUAACCUGCCCUUGACUUUGGGAUAACUUCAGGAAACUGGGGCUAAUACCGGAUAGGAGCUCCUGCUGCAUGGUGGGGGUUGGAAAGUUUCGGCGGUUGGGGAUGGACUCGCGGCUUAUCAGCUUGUUGGUGGGGUGGUGGCUUACCAAGGCGUUGACGGGUGGCCGGCCUGAGAGGGUGACCGGCCACAUUGGGACUGAGAGACGGCCCAGACUCCUACGGGAGGCAGCGGUGGGGAAUAUUGCACAAUGGGCGGGAGCCUGAUGCAGCAACGCCGCGUGCGGGAUGACGGCCUUCGGGUUGUAAACCGCUUUCGCCUGUGACGAAGCGUGAGUGACGGUAAUGGGUAAAGAAGCACCGGCUAACUACGUG
This 468-nucleotide ribosomal RNA is filed under the name uncultured bacterium. RNAcentral's name for it is "partial 16S ribosomal RNA". It matches the Rfam family "Bacterial small subunit ribosomal RNA", at positions 28 to 507 of the family's 1533-position model. The record is from RNAcentral.